RNAcentral lists this small RNA (29 nucleotides) under Bombyx mori (domestic silkworm). Its description in RNAcentral is "ovarian small RNA-9273". Lineage: Eukaryota; Metazoa; Arthropoda; Insecta; Lepidoptera; Bombycidae. The record is from RNAcentral.
UUAACCAAGACUCGGGACUUAUAUUCGGC